This 254-nucleotide ribosomal RNA is filed under the name uncultured bacterium. RNAcentral describes it as "partial 16S ribosomal RNA". It matches the Rfam family "Bacterial small subunit ribosomal RNA", at positions 524 to 776 of the family's 1533-position model. The record is from RNAcentral.
UACGGGGGGGGCAAGCGUUGUUCGGAAUUACUGGGCGUAAAGGGCGCGUAGGCGGUCAGCACAAGUCAGUUGUGAAAUCUCCGGGCUUAACUCGGAAAGGUCAACUGAUACUGUGCGACUAGAGUGCGGAAGGGGCAACUGGAAUUCUUGGUGUAGCGGUGAAAUGCGUAGAUAUCAAGAGGAACACCUGCGGCGAAGGCGGGUUGCUGGGCCGACACUGACGCUGAGGCGCGAAAGCCAGGGGAGCGAACGGG